GAGAUUUUGUUAAAGCUAAAAGGAUACUUCUUGAGAUGGAGAGUAACGGAGUUAAGCCUAACACCAAGACAUACACUGCACUGAUAGAUGGUUAUUGCCAGAAAGGUAUAAUGAAUGAAGCUUAUAAGCUAAGAAUUGUCAUGGAAUCUAAGGACUUGAUAGCUAACGUCUAUACAUACACCUCACUUGUACAUGGGGAAUGCAAAUCAGGAAAGGUAGAUGAUGCUCUGAAGCUUUUCAAUGAGAUGCCUACAAAGGGUUUAGUUCCGAAUGUUGUGACUUAUACAGCAGUGAUUUCUGGCUUAUCAAAAGAAGGCAGAUCAGGUGAAGCCCUCCGAUUAUACAAUCAGAUGAUAGAGGCAGGCGUAAUACAUGAUGCUGCUGCAUACUCUGCACUUAGUUUUUUUGGCGGGACAACUGGAGUAGCAAAGGUCCUCUAGCCAAUGAUUACCAUGAAACAGAGAAGAAUACCGAGACUCUAGUAAGACAUUUCAUUAAUAAUGGAACUUGGGGCAAUGCAAAGAUGCAGAACAUCCUAUGAGAUAGCACAAUUCAACAGAUCAAGACCAUUGGAAUUGGCAAGUAUGACACUCAAGACAAGGUCUUUUGGGACCUCACAGAAGAUGGGAAAUAUUCCAACAGACCACAAUAUUGAUCAGAUUUGGUAUUCUGAAGGAUACUCUAUGCAACUGCUGCUCUCUUCCUAAAAUGAAAAUCAAAUGCAACAUGUUUUUCUUCAUGGAGAGGCAGCUCAAUAUGUGUGGAAGCACUUUGGAGGGCCACUGGCAAUCAGAACUUACAACUGGUGGAAUCAAAAAUCAAAUAACUCCAUCGACAAGCUAGUUCUUCAAACUAUACCAGGCCUUAUCUGUUUGGAGAUUUUGAAACAAAGGUCCGAGUGUAGUAAUUAUGGAGGCUUAAGGAAUUUCAACAGAUAUAUGAUGAUCCAACACAUUGGCUGCAGCAUUCAGAGUACAAUUGCUAAAGCUUAUCCAAAAGUUGGUUUGACAUUACUUUGGAUCACUCUUUGUGAAAAAUUUGUGCAGCUGGAACCUUUCUCAUACCUUUCUAUUGUAUGCUGGAAGUUCCCUGAAAAUGGCAUCCUUAAAUUGAAAACUUACGGAAGCUACUGCUCAGCUAGUGGAAAAUCUGUUAUGAGGGGAGUUUCGAGGGAUGAUAGAGGCAAUCUCAUCUUGGUUUUCUGCUCACCUUCGAGUUGUUGCAGCAGCACAUAAGCAGAAGCUAAGGCUGCCAGUUAUGGACUAAGCCUCUGCCUUCUGAAAAAUCUGAAGAACUUCACCAAAGAUACAGACUCUUUGAUCCUAUUUCCGAUGAUUGUGAACAACCAGCAAUCCAACUACAAGCUGAAUUUCAUUAUUGAGGAGAUACAACAAAGAAUGAAACUAGCUAAUGUUAAAGCAACUCACUACGAGGCUAACGAAGUAGCACUGGCAAUGAACAGUCGAAAACAAUUCUUCUUUUGACUCCUUUCAACAUCUUCCAGCAAGGGCAAAAUAGAGUUUUUGGUGGGACAACUGGAGUAGCAAAGGUCCUCUAGCCAAUGAUUACCAUGAAACAGAGAAAAAUACCGAGACUCUAGUAAGACAUUUCAUUACCAAUGGAACUUGGGAUAAUGCAAAGAUGCAGAACAUCCUAUGAGAUAGCACAAUUCAAUAUAUCAAGACCAUUGGAAUUGGCAAGUAUGACACUCAAGAUAAGGUCUUUUGGGACCUCACAGAAGAUGGGAAAUAUUCUAACAGACCACAAUAUUGAUCAGGAUACUCUAUGCAACUGCUGCUCUCUUCCUAAAUUGAAAAUCAAAUGCAACAUGUUUUUCUUCAUGGAGAGGCAGCUCAAUAUGUGUGGAAGCACUUUGGAGGGCCACUGGCAAUCAGAACUUACAACUGGUGGAAUCAAAAAUCAAAUAACUCCACCGACACGCUAGUUCUUCAAACUAUACCAGGCCUUAUCUGCUUGGAGAUUUAGAAUCAAAGGUCCGAGCGUAGUAAUUAUGGAGGCUUAAGGAAUCUCAACAGAUAUAUGAUGAUCCAACUCAUUGGGUGCAGCAUUCAGAGUACAAUUGCUAAAGCUAUCCAAAAGUUGGUUCGACAUAACUUUGGAUCACUCUUUGUGAAAAAUUUGUGAAGCUGAAACCUGCCUCAAACCUUUCUAUUGUAUGCUGGAAGUUCCCUGAAAAUGGCGUCAUUAAAUUGAAAACUGACGGAAGCUACUGCUCAGCUAGUGGAAAAUUUGGUAUGAGGGGAGUUUUGAGGGAUGAUAGAGGCAAUCUCAUCUUCGCUUUCUCCUCACCUUCGAGUGGUAGCAGCAUCACAGAAGCAGAAGCUAAGGCUGCCAGUUUUGGACUAAGAGCCUCUGCAUUUUGAAAAAUCUGAAGAAUUUCACCAAAGAGAGACUCUUUGAACCUAUUUCCUAUGAUUUUGAACAACCAGUAAUCCAACUACAUGCUGA
Solanum tuberosum (potato) is the source of this 2469-nucleotide long non-coding RNA. RefSeq lists it as uncharacterized. NCBI's taxonomy places the organism in Eukaryota, Viridiplantae, Streptophyta, Magnoliopsida, Solanales, Solanaceae. The transcript is spliced from 5 exons. The record is from RefSeq and is a predicted model, not a curated record.